GUCUACGGUCAUGCUACCCUGAAUAAGCUCGAUUCCGUCUGAUCUUGGAAGCUAAGCAGGGUCGGGCCUGGUUAGUACUUGGAUGGGAGACCACCUAGGAAGAUGCUGUAGGCA
This 114-nucleotide ribosomal RNA is filed under the name Pteropus alecto (black flying fox). The record is from RNAcentral. RNAcentral also lists the same sequence under 1 other name. Lineage: Eukaryota; Metazoa; Chordata; Mammalia; Chiroptera; Pteropodidae.